CUCUCAUUCUCUCCUUCAUGGCUAUACGUAGUAAGUGUUGUUUGACUAUUGGUAUUAGAAAAUACCCUUAGAAGACUAAUAUUAAAAGUAUCUUUUUAACGUAUUAAGUUAUUUCAAAUAUAACUCUAGAAUUAAUUCUAUUAGUGAACAGUUGAAAAGAUACUAGAAGACUAUAUUAAAAGUAUCUUUUUAACGUUCUAAAUUAUUUCAAAUAUAACUCUAGAAUUAAAUUAUAUUGUGAACAGUUAGUAAUGGUCGUUAUCUCUGUGAAAUUAUUAGUUUGCCCUUUCAAAUGUACCCUUUUAUAUUUACCAAUUUUUUUUAUUUGCCUUUAAGUUACAGGCAAAAAAAGUAUUUUAAAUUUUUUGUCUUUUCAAAUAUAUUCUUCUACGUACCAUCACCGAUUUUUUUUAUUUGCCUUAAGUUAGGGACAAAAGAGGUAUUUUGACAUCUCUUUAACUUAAGUAGAAAUUCAACUCGGGUUUAACACGAGAUGAUAUAGCGGGUAAAAACAGUAGGGGUAUUUUUGAAUAACAGAGAAAUAUAUGAGUGUAUUUGAAAUAAAAAAAAAAAGUAAAUGUAUAUAUAAGAUAUUUCAAAAGUUUUCAUGGGUAUAUUAGAUAUUAUCCACUAAAAAAAACUAGCAAAUGUAAGU
Molecule: long non-coding RNA, 655 nt
Filed under: Ananas comosus (pineapple)
Lineage: Eukaryota; Viridiplantae; Streptophyta; Magnoliopsida; Poales; Bromeliaceae
Description: long non-coding RNA (ACOM_LNC026922)
Source: RNAcentral